GUCGAGAAUCUUUCACAAUGGGGGCAACCCUGAUGGAGCGACGCCGCGUGGAGGAUAAGGUCUUCGGAUUGUAAACUCCUGUCAUGCGUGAACAAGGUUGCUUGGUUAAUACCUGGGCAAAUUGAUGGUAACGCAAGAGGAAGAGACGGCUAACUCUGUGCCAGCAGCCGCGGUAAUACAGAGGUCUCAAGCGUUGCUCGGAAUCACUGGGCGUAAAGGGUGCGUAGGUGGCGUGGUAAGUCAGAUGUGAAAGCCCGGGGCUCAACCUCGGAACUGCAUCCGAUACUGCCAUGCUAGAGUACUGGAGAGGUGACUAGAAUUCUCGGUGUAGCAGUGAAAUGCGUAGAUAUCGAGAGGAAUACCAAAGGCGUAGGCAGGUCACUGGACAGUUACUGACACUGAGGCACGAAGGCCAGGGGAGCGAACAGGAUUAGAUACCCUUGUAGUCC
This 449-nucleotide ribosomal RNA is filed under the name uncultured bacterium. Its description in RNAcentral is "partial 16S ribosomal RNA". It matches the Rfam family "Bacterial small subunit ribosomal RNA", at positions 354 to 796 of the family's 1533-position model. The record is from RNAcentral.